GAAAUGCGAUAAGUAAUGUGAAUUGCAGAAUUCAGUGAAUCAUCGAAUCUUUGAACGCACCUUGCGCUCCUUGGUAUUCCUUGGAGCAUGCCUGUUUGAGUAUCAUGAAAUCUACAAAGUAAAUCUUUUGUUAACUCAAUUGGUUUCUACUUUGGUAUUGGAGGUCUUUGCAGCUUCACACCUGCUCCUCUUUGUUCAUUAGCUGGAUCUCAGUGUUAUGCUUGGUUCCACUCGGCGUGAUAAGUUAUCUAUCGCUGAGGACACUGUAAAAGGUGGCCAAGGUAAAUGCAGAUGAACCGCUUCUAAUAGUCCAUUGACUUGGACAAUACUUUUAUGACCUGAUCUCAAAUCAGGUAGGACUACCCGCUGAACUUAAGC
Molecule: unclassified non-coding RNA, 378 nt
Filed under: plant metagenome
Description: partial contains 5.8S ribosomal RNA, internal transcribed spacer 2, and large subunit ribosomal RNA
Rfam family: 5.8S ribosomal RNA (bases 1-105)
Source: RNAcentral